RNAcentral lists this long non-coding RNA (359 nucleotides) under Lathyrus oleraceus (garden pea). RNAcentral's name for it is "Pisum sativum (pea) long non-coding RNA (PSAT_LNC029139)". The record is from RNAcentral. Lineage: Eukaryota; Viridiplantae; Streptophyta; Magnoliopsida; Fabales; Fabaceae.
UUGCAGUUAUCCAUCAUUCAUUAAAUAACUUAUAGAAAAAUGUCUCCCAUCGAUCCUUUAUAUCGUUUUUGUGAUACAAUUUUUUUAUCUUUCUUUGGUGUCUAAGAAUUAAAAUAAUCCGUCAAAAUAUUUUUUUUUGUUUGUUCAAUGUCUUCCUAAUCUCUUUCUUAGCUUCGUUUUUUUUUCAACUUUCUAUUUUUUUAACACCUAGACCAAACUUUUAAGUAUUUUCUUUUUUAUUCUAACUUUAUUAUGCACACUUUUAUUCUACUACCAUUUUUUCCCCUAAGGUCCAAUUUGUUUUUGUUUCUCUCAAGCGCCUUAUUUUAUACUUUUUGAAUCUCUUGCGCCAACUUGUC